AGUGAACGCUGGCGGUAGGCCUAACACAUGCAAGUCGAACGGCAGCACAGUAAGAGCUUGCUCUUACGGGUGGCGAGUGGCGGACGGGUGAGGAAUACAUCGGAAUCUACUUUUUCGUGGGGGAUAACGUAGGGAAACUUACGCUAAUACCGCAUACGACCUACGGGUGAAAGCAGGGGAUCUUCGGACCUUGCGCGAUUGAAUGAGCCGAUGUCGGAUUAGCUAGUUGGCGGGGUAAAGGCCCACCAAGGCGACGAUCCGUAGCUGGUCUGAGAGGAUGAUCAGCCACACUGGAACUGAGACACGGUCCAGACUCCGACGGGAGGCAGCAGUGGGGAAUAUUGGACAAUGGGCGCAAGCCUGAUCCAGCCAUACCGCGGGGGUGAAGAAGGCCUUCGGGUUGUAAAGCCCUUUUGUUGGGAAAGAAAAGCAGCAGGUUAAGACCCCGCUGUUCUGACGGUACCCAAAGAAUAAGCACCGGCUAACUUCGU
This 491-nucleotide ribosomal RNA is filed under the name uncultured bacterium. Its description in RNAcentral is "partial 16S ribosomal RNA". It matches the Rfam family "Bacterial small subunit ribosomal RNA", at positions 29 to 506 of the family's 1533-position model. The record is from RNAcentral.